AGUUUUGCGCAGUAGCGAUAUCGUCGCCGAUGAGGUUUAACCGAGGCGUGAUUAUUGCUUCUUGUAAACACCGCUAACAAUGGCCUGUUCCUUUUAUCAUCAUUACUUUUUUGCAUUUCUAUCAUUAAUUUGUUCAAUAGA
Molecule: small nuclear RNA, 141 nt
Organism: Leucoraja erinaceus (little skate)
Lineage: Eukaryota; Metazoa; Chordata; Chondrichthyes; Rajiformes; Rajidae
Product: U4 spliceosomal RNA
Exons: 1
Source: RefSeq, a predicted model, not a curated record